GGGGUUGGCAGCUAUCUUCUAUCUGGGGACUGAAUCCCUGAGGGGAUGACUCAGUCCCUGUUCUAAAACUCUUGAGUCUGGAAUACUGGCUGUCUCCUGGGGCUGGAGGUGGAACCCAGGGCCUCAGACAUACUAGGCAAGCAUGCUGUCUGAGCUUGACCCCUGUCCCCGACACCGGCACUGCCUCUAAACCAGAUCCUCUUUUCAGUGAGCCAUUAUAUUUAUAAAUCAAAGCUUAUGAAUUUAUGAUAGGUCUGGAAGUUCCCUUUCCCUGAUCUUCCUUUCAAGGGCUCUUAGCAGGAGUUCUGCCACAGCCUUGUAAGUCCUGCCCUGGGGCCUCUGGCAGGGAAAGAGGAGGCCUUCAAGGGGCCAGACUGAUGCUCCAUUCCUGCUGUAUUUUUCAAAAGGGCAGACAGCAGGUAUGGAGAUAAAAACAAUGUGGCUGUUUCUUACAGAGACACAGCCUCCGGGGAAAGGACCAGACCAGACAAGCCCUGACCUGAGAUGCUAAGACAUUGGGCACAAGAAGGGACCCCCUUGGACCAGGAGGGCCUUGUCACAUGGUUUCUGAAAAGAAAAGUGAGGCCACCCCGAGUGCCCUGAAUUCAAACAUUCCUCUCCCUGUGGAAAUGUUGAAACCAUUUGGUAAAAUUUCCAAAGGUAGUGUAACAGAAAGUGUGGCCCCUGUGGAGUGGCUCCCCUCACAGCUAAUGCCACUGCUGUCCCCUCCUGUCAGGAGAGCACAGUUGGAGCAUACAUCAUCAGUUGUUUUUUUUUAAAUCGGGAAACUCUUAGUUUUUUAAACUUGCUGAGCAGGUCACACAAAAAAAGCAGGUAUCAGUGUUGACAAUUAGAAGUACAUUAUUUAUCACAUACAUUGUUCCCUCCCAAGGCUAUUUCCUCCAACUGGUGAGUUUUUUGAAGUAGGUCCCACAUUUAGUGAACUUCGAAUCUAGCACACCUAACACACAGAAAUUGCUUCUCUGCUGAUUCUCACGGCACAGGGCUACAAGUGGGACAGGAAGUGAGGAAAGUCAUCACCUAGUGGGACUUGCAUAUCUGCAUUGCAAAGGAAGGCCUAUGGCAUGGUGGAAUUGGA
RNAcentral lists this long non-coding RNA (1099 nucleotides) under Marmota monax (woodchuck). Lineage: Eukaryota; Metazoa; Chordata; Mammalia; Rodentia; Sciuridae. The record is from RNAcentral.